UUAUAUAUGUCUACCGUGGUUGUAACGAGUACAGAGAAUCAGGGUUUGGUUCUGGAGAGGCCGCCUGAGAAACGGCGACCACUUCCAAGGAAGGCAGCAGGCGCGCAAAUUACCCACUCUCAAAAUGAGGAGGUAGUGAAGAGAAAUAACGAUGUUAGUCUUAUAUAGGCUGACAAUCGGAAUGGGAACACUGUAAACAGGUUAUCGAUUAACAAUUGGAGGGCAAGUCUGGUGCCAGCAGCCGCGGUAAUUCCAGCUCCAAUAAGGAAAACUAAAGUUGCUGUGUUUAAAAAGCUCGUAGUUGAAUCUCGGGUAUUUGUUUCUAGCUGGUCUCUAUGGCCAUGUUGGUUAACAGAUCCUCACUUGCUGGACGGCUGGCGAUGAUCUUUAUCGAUUGUCGUCAGUUGCCAGAACGUUUACUUUGAGAAAAUUAGAGUGCUAAAAGCAGGCUCACGCCUAAAUAUAUUGCAUGGAAUAAUGAAAUAAGAUCUCGAUUUUAUUUCGUUGGUUUUAGAAGUUGAGAUAAUGAUUAAUAGGAUCAGAGGGGGGCGUACGUACUGUGGUGUGAGAGGUGAAAUUCUUGGAUCGCCACAGGACGAACAGCAGCGAAGGCGUUCGCCAAGAAUGUUUUCAUUAAUCAAGAACGAAAGUUUGAGGUUCGAAGACGAUUAGAUACCGUCCUAGUUCAAACCAUAAACGUUGCCAACUGUCUUUUAGAUGCGGUUAUUUAUAUGACUCAUCUGGCGGAUCUCGAGAAAUCUAAGUUUUUAGGUUCCGGGGGAAGUAUGGUUGCAAAGCUGAAACUUAAAAGAAUUGACGGAAGGACACACAAGAAGUGGAGCCUGUGGCCUAAUUUGACCCAACACGGGAAACCUUACUCGGCCAGGACACUUUUAGGAUUGACAGAUUGAGAGCUCUUUCUUGAUUAGGUGGGUGGUGGUGCAUCGUCGUUCGUAGUUCGUGGAGCGAUUUGUCUGAUUAAUUUCGAUAACGAACGAGACUCCGGCUUACUAAAUAGUCUAAAGUUCGAAGGGACUUUUCAAGACUUCUUAGCAGGAUAAGUGGCGCCCUUUAAGCCACACGAAAUGGAGCAAUAACAGGUCUGUGAUGCCCUUAGAUGUCCGAGGCUGCACGCGCGCUACACUGGAGAGUUCAGAAUGUUUCUUCCUACUUCGACAGAAGCGGGUAACCAUGAAAUUCUCUUCGUGACUGGGAUCGGAGCUUGCAAUUAUUCUCCGUCAACGAGGAAUUCCUAGUAAGCACUAUUUCAUCAGAAUGUGCUGAUUAUGUCCCUGUCCUUUGUACACACCGCCCGUCGCUACUACCGAUUGAAUGUUUUAGUGAGAUCUUCGGCUUGGUUUUCCGAGCGGCUUUCGGGUCGUUCGGUUUAUAUCGAAAAGAUGCUCAAACUGGAUCAUUUAGAGGAAGUAAAAGUCGUAACAAGGUA
RNAcentral lists this ribosomal RNA (1447 nucleotides) under metagenome. RNAcentral describes it as "SSU rRNA". It matches the Rfam family "Eukaryotic small subunit ribosomal RNA", at positions 331 to 1801 of the family's 1831-position model. The record is from RNAcentral.